UACGUAGGUGGCGAGCGUUGUCCGGAUUUACUGGGCGUAAAGGGAGCGUAGGCGGACUUUUAAGUGAGAUGUGAAAUACUCGGGCUCAACUUGAGUGCUGCAUUUCAAACUGGAAGUCUAGAGUGCAGGAGAGGAGAAUGGAAUUCCUAGUGUAGCGGUGAAAUGCGUAGAGAUUAGGAAGAACACCAGUGGCGAAGGCGAUUCUCUGGACUGUAACUGACGCUGAGGCACGAAAGCGUGGGGAUCAAACAGG
Molecule: ribosomal RNA, 253 nt
Filed under: uncultured bacterium
Lineage: Bacteria
Description: partial 16S ribosomal RNA
Rfam family: Bacterial small subunit ribosomal RNA
Source: RNAcentral